GAAUAUUGGACAAUGGGCGAAAGCCUGAUCCAGCAAUGCCGCGUGAGUGAUGAAGGCCUUAGGGUUGUAAAGCUCUUUUACCCGGGAUGAUAAUGACAGUACCGGGAGAAUAAGCCCCGGCUAACUCCGUGCCAGCAGCCGCGGUAAUACGGAGGGGGCUAGCGUUGUUCGGAAUUACUGGGCGUAAAGCGCACGUAGGCGGCUUUGUAAGUUAGAGGUGAAAGCCCGGAGCUCAACUCCGGAACUGCCUUUAAGACUGCAUCGCUUGAACGUCGGAGAGGUAAGUGGAAUUCCGAGUGUAGAGGUGAAAUUCGUAGAUAUUCGGUGGAACACCAGUGGCGAAGGCGGCUAACUGGACUGAUACUGACGCUGAGGUGCGAAAGUGUGGGGAGCAAACAGG
This 400-nucleotide ribosomal RNA is filed under the name uncultured bacterium. Its description in RNAcentral is "bacterial SSU rRNA". It matches the Rfam family "Bacterial small subunit ribosomal RNA", at positions 359 to 776 of the family's 1533-position model. The record is from RNAcentral.